UCCGUAGGCGGGUAAUUAAGUCAGAGGUGAAAUCCCACAGCUUAACUGUGGAACUGCCUUAGAUACUGGUUAUCUUGAGUUUUAGUGAAGUAGAUAGAAUGUGUAGUGUAGCGGUGAAAUGCAUAGAUAUUACACAGAAUACCGAUUGCGAAGGCAGUCUACUAACUAACAACUGACGCUAAUGGACGAAAGCGUGGGGAGCGAACAGGAUUAGAUACACUGGUAGUCC
This 229-nucleotide ribosomal RNA is filed under the name uncultured bacterium. RNAcentral describes it as "partial 16S ribosomal RNA". It matches the Rfam family "Bacterial small subunit ribosomal RNA", at positions 568 to 796 of the family's 1533-position model. The record is from RNAcentral.